AUUGAACGCUGGCGGCAUGCUUUACACAUGCAAGUCGAACGGUAACAGGCCUUCGGGUGCUGACGAGUGGCGAACGGGUGCGUAAUACAUCGGAACGUACCCAGAGGUGGGGGAUAACGCAGCGAAAGCUGUGCUAAUACCGCAUGUGAUCUGAGGAUGAAAGCGGGGGACCGAGCAGCAAUGUUUGGCCUCGCGCCUUUGGAGCGGCCGAUGUCGGAUUAGCUAGUUGGUGGGGUAAAGGCCUACCAAGGCGACGAUCCGUAGCUGGUCUGAGAGGACGACCAGCCACACUGGGACUGAGACACGGCCCAGACUCCUACGGGAGGCAGCAGUGGGGAAUUUUGGACAAUGGGCGCAAACCUGAUCCAGCAAUGCCGCGUGCGGGAAGAAGGCCUUCGGGUUGUAAAACGCUUUUGGCAGGAACGAAACGGUGUCCGCUAAUACCGGGCGCUAAUGACGGUACCUGCAGAAUAAGCACCGGCUAACUACGUG
This 492-nucleotide ribosomal RNA is filed under the name uncultured bacterium. RNAcentral describes it as "partial 16S ribosomal RNA". It matches the Rfam family "Bacterial small subunit ribosomal RNA", at positions 30 to 507 of the family's 1533-position model. The record is from RNAcentral.